This 490-nucleotide ribosomal RNA is filed under the name uncultured bacterium. RNAcentral's name for it is "partial 16S ribosomal RNA". It matches the Rfam family "Bacterial small subunit ribosomal RNA", at positions 30 to 507 of the family's 1533-position model. The record is from RNAcentral.
AUUGAACGCUGGCGGCAUGCUUUACACAUGCAAGUCGAACGGCAGCACGAAAGAGCUUGCUCUUUUGGUGGCGAGUGGCGAACGGGUGAGUAAUGCAUCGGAACGUACCGAGUAAUGGGGGAUAACUGUCCGAAAGGAUAGCUAAUACCGCAUACGCUUUGAGAAGGAAAGUGGGGGCUCUUCGGCCCUCACGUUAUUCGAGCGGCCGAUGUCUGAUUAGCUAGUUGGUGGGGUAAAGGCCUACCAAGGCGACGAUCAGUAGCGGGUCUGAGAGGAUGAUCCGCCACACUGGGACUGAGACACGGCCCAGACUCCUACGGGAGGCAGCAGUGGGGAAUUUUGGACAAUGGGCGCAAGCCUGAUCCAGCCAUGCCGCGUGUCUGAAGAAGGCCUUCGGGUUGUAAAGGACUUUUGUUAGGGAAGAAAAGGAUAGUGUUAAUACCAUUAUCUGCUGACGGUACCUAAAGAAUAAGCACCGGCUAACUACGUG